Molecule: ribosomal RNA, 502 nt
Filed under: uncultured bacterium
Lineage: Bacteria
Description: partial 16S ribosomal RNA
Rfam family: Bacterial small subunit ribosomal RNA
Source: RNAcentral
AUUGAACGCUGGCGGAAUGCUUUACACAUGCGAGUCGAACGGCAGCACGGGUGCUUGCACCUGGUGGCGAGUGGCGAACGGGUGAGUAAUACAUCGGAACGUACCCAGUCGUGGGGGAUAACGUAGCGAAAGUUACGCUAAUACCGCAUACGUCCUGAGGGAGAAAGCGGGGGACCGUAAGGCCUCGCGCGAUUGGAGCGGCCGAUGGCGGAUUAGCGAGUUGGUGGGGUAAAGGCCUACCAAGGCGACGAUCCGUAGCGGGGAUGAGAGGACGGCCCGCCACACUGGAACUGAGACGCGGUCCAGACUCCUACGGGAGGCAGCAGUGGGGAAUUUUGGACAAUGGGCGAAAGCCUGAAUCAGCCAUUCCGCGUGAGUGAAGAAGGCCUUCGGGUUGUAAAGCUCUUUCGGCAGGGAAGAAACGGCUUGGGAUAAUACCCCGGGCUAAUGACGGUACCUGAAGAAGAAGCACCGGCUAACUACGUGCCAGCCGCCGCCGUAA